Molecule: long non-coding RNA, 219 nt
Organism: Ornithodoros turicata
Lineage: Eukaryota; Metazoa; Arthropoda; Arachnida; Ixodida; Argasidae
Exons: 3
Source: RefSeq, a predicted model, not a curated record
CAAAAGCGCCCUUGGCUUCUGCCAGACUCUCGUCCAAAGGCAAAACUGACCGCCAUCACUGAGGCAAAGUAUUUGCUAAAAGACAUCCAGCACCUUUCGCCUGAUGUACAAACAUCCGGUUUAGAAGCCUUUCAUAGCCUUCUGAUUCGUUUUGCUCCCAAGUCUGUGGGCUAUAGUGCACGAACAAUGCGGAACAGAGUCUACUUGGCCAUUCUCCAC